Long non-coding RNA from Oncorhynchus nerka (sockeye salmon), 1211 nucleotides. RefSeq lists it as uncharacterized. The transcript is spliced from 2 exons. NCBI's taxonomy places the organism in Eukaryota, Metazoa, Chordata, Actinopteri, Salmoniformes, Salmonidae. The record is from RefSeq and is a predicted model, not a curated record.
AAACGGAAACGGGUUACCGCUGAGGGACGAGUGUUAACCGUAGCUACCAAAAAGUCCCAGAAAUGUGCAAAUUGUGCCAGAGAAGAGUCAUUUGAGAACCUGAAACAAUGUUCAUCAUGUAAAGAGACACUGUACUGUUCCAAAGUAUGUCAAAACCAACAUUGGACUAAACAUAAGAAAAAAUGCACUCACCUGAAAAGUGACUCUACCAGUGAAAGGUUUUCCUGCACAGAGGAAAAUGCCCACUCCUUACCAUCCCUAGCUCAAGGUUGCCACCCCCGUAAGGUCACCUCGCUAGUCGGCAGACAGUGCCUUAUUGAGUGUCACCUGAAUCGCCACCACCUCCAAGCUUUAUGGGACACAGGCUCUCAGGUAUCGGUCAUUGAUGAACGAUGGAAAGAGGAAUCUCUCCCAAACGCAAGGCUGAGAGAUGUUUCAGAAAUCCUGGACUCACCUGAUGAUCUAAGGUUGACUGCAGCAAAUGGGACUGAAAUGCCGUACCUGGGAUGGAUUGAAACAACUUUUCGUCUAGCCUCUGAAACUGACCAAACAAAGGAACUGAUCAUCCCAGUGCUGGUAAUGAAAGGCUGUCACCUAUCUCAUCCCAUCAUAGGUUUCAAUGUUAUCGAGCACAUCCUGACAAUGACCGAAAAGACUAAACGAUACAGUACAGUAAAAACAGCUUUCCCAAGCCUCAAAAGAAACAAGGUGAGAGCUUUUAUACAGGCUGUUAGCGCAGAACAGACAGAUGAAUACGCAGUGAAAACCAAGAAAGAGAAGGUUGCUGUACCAAAACACAGUAGCAUUCAGAUUGAGUGCCGUGUAGCUUCCCAGCCUUUCAAAGAUGACAUGACAAUGCUUUUCCAGCCAGACCUGAACCCGCAGUGGCCAGAUGACCUUGAGUUCUUUGACACACUAGUCAGAGUCAGUAAAGGUGUUUUUCCAGUUAUCCUGCUUGAUGUCUCUAACCCCACUGACCACGACAUUGCCCUGCUAGGACGCACAAUAAUCGGUACAGUACAAACCAUUAUGACUGUGUUACCUGCCCAAGUCUUUGAAAAAACUGUCACCUCAGCCACAGUGAAUCACACCAGCGUUCGAACCCCAUGUACUGCUACUGAACAGUGGGAUCCACCAGUAGAUUUAACUCACCUAACCGAAGAACAGAGAGAGGUUGUUAGGCAAAUGCUUAGAGAAGAGUGUCACUCCUU